UAGAUACCCUGGUAGUCCACGCCGUAAAUGUUGGGCACUAGGUGUGGGUCUCUAUCGACGGGAUCCGUGCCGUAGCUAACGCAUUAAGUGCCCCGCCUGGGGAGUACGGCCGCAAGGCUAAAACUCAAAGGAAUUGACGGGGGCCCGCACAAGCGGCGGAGCGUGUGGCUUAAUUCGAUGCAACGCGAAGAACCUUACCUGGGCUUGACAUGUACGGAAAAGCCGGUGAAAGCCGGUGUGCUUCGGCGUC
Molecule: ribosomal RNA, 250 nt
Filed under: uncultured bacterium
Lineage: Bacteria
Description: partial 16S ribosomal RNA
Rfam family: Bacterial small subunit ribosomal RNA
Source: RNAcentral